UGCGGGGUGGUCCAGCGGCUACGACGCGCGGCUCUGGUCCGCGAAACGGAGGUUCGACUCCUCCCCCCGCAG
This 72-nucleotide transfer RNA is filed under the name Chloroflexota bacterium. Its description in RNAcentral is "tRNA-Gln". It matches the Rfam family "tRNA". From Rfam's summary of the family: Transfer RNA (tRNA) molecules are approximately 80 nucleotides in length. Lineage: Bacteria; Bacillati; Chloroflexota. The record is from RNAcentral.